RNAcentral lists this signal recognition particle RNA (299 nucleotides) under Cimex lectularius (bed bug). RNAcentral describes it as "Metazoan signal recognition particle RNA". It matches the Rfam family "Metazoan signal recognition particle RNA". Rfam says of the family: The signal recognition particle (SRP) is a universally conserved ribonucleoprotein. Lineage: Eukaryota; Metazoa; Arthropoda; Insecta; Hemiptera; Cimicidae. The record is from Rfam by way of RNAcentral.
ACUGGGAGUUGUGGCGUGCUCCUGUAAUCCAGCUACUUGGAGGUCGGGUCUCGAGGAUGGUUUGAGUCCGGGAACCACUGUGGUUGGGUGUUUCUACGUUGACCAGGCGUCCGCACUAAGCUGAUCAUCAACAUGGUUGUUUCCGGGGAGCCGGAAAUGUCCAGGUUGCUAAGGAGGGGCGAACCGGGCCAGGGGGGAAACUCAGCAGCCAAAAGUCCCCGUGGUUUGCAGUAGUGGGAUCGCGCCAGUGAGUAGGGCCCCAGUUGCAGCCCGGACAAUACAAUCGGACCGAGAUCUGU